This 725-nucleotide ribosomal RNA is filed under the name Anaerolineae bacterium. RNAcentral's name for it is "partial 23S ribosomal RNA". It matches the Rfam family "Bacterial large subunit ribosomal RNA", at positions 2198 to 2925 of the family's 2925-position model. The record is from RNAcentral. Lineage: Bacteria; Bacillati; Chloroflexota; Anaerolineae.
UACCACCCUGAUCAUGCCUAGGCCCUAACCCCAUUCCGUAAUCCGGAUGGGGGACCGUGCCAGGUGGGCAGUUUGACUGGGGCGGUCGCCUCCUAAAAGGUAACGGAGGCGCCCAAAGGUUCCCUCAGGCUGAAUGGAAACCUGCCAAAGAGUGUAAAGGCAUAAGGGAGCUUGACUGCAAGACCAACGCGUCGAGCAGAUACGAAAGUAGGGCUUAGUGAUCCCACGGUUCCGAGUGGAAGGGCCGUGGCUUACCGGAUAAAAGCUACCCCGGGGAUAACAGGCUAGUCUGGUCCAAGAGUUCACAUCGACGACCAGGCUCGGCACCUCGAUGUCGGCUCAUCGCAUCCUGGGGCUGGACAAGGUCCCAAGGGUUGGGCUGUUCGCCCAUUAAAGCGGUACGCGAGCUGGGUUCAGACCGUCGUGAGACAGGUCGGUCUCUAUCCGCUGUGGGCGUAAGGGAUUUGAGAGGAGCUGCUCCUAGUACGAGAGGACCGGAGUGGACAGACCUCUGGUGUGCCAGUUGUCAUGCCAAUGGCAUCGCUGGGUAGCUACGUCUGGCAAGGAUAACCGCUGAAAGCAUCUAAGUGGGAAGCCUGCCUCAAGAUAAGAUCCCUCUGUCCGUAAGGACUUAAAAUCACAGAUAGACUAUCUGUUAUAUAGGCAGCGUGUGUAAGCACAGCAAUGUGUUGAGCUAAGCUGUACUAAUUGAUUGAGGGCUUCUC